GUGGGGAAUUUUGGACAAUGGGCGCAAGCCUGAUCCAGCCAUGCCGCGUGUGUGAAGAAGGCCUUCGGGUUGUAAAGCACUUUUGUCCGGGAAGAAAUCUUCCAGGUUAAUACCCUGGGAGGCUGACGGUACCGGAAGAAUAAGCACCGGCUAACUUCGUGCCAGCAGCCGCGGUAAUACGAAGGGUGCAAGCGUUACUCAGAAUUACUGGGCGUAAAGCGUGCGUAGGUGGUUCGUUAAGUCUGCCGUGAAAGCCCCGGGCUCAACCUGGGAAUGGCGGUGGAUACUGGCGGGCUAGAGGGCGGUAGAGGGUGGUGGAAUUCCCGGUGUAGCAGUGAAAUGCGUAGAGAUCGGGAGGAACAUCUGUGGCGAAGGCGGCCACCUGGACCAGCACUGACACUGAGGCACGAAAGCGUGGGGAGCAAACAGGAUUAGAUACCCCAGUAGUCC
Molecule: ribosomal RNA, 450 nt
Filed under: uncultured bacterium
Lineage: Bacteria
Description: partial 16S ribosomal RNA
Rfam family: Bacterial small subunit ribosomal RNA
Source: RNAcentral